RNAcentral lists this ribosomal RNA (497 nucleotides) under uncultured bacterium. RNAcentral describes it as "partial 16S ribosomal RNA". It matches the Rfam family "Bacterial small subunit ribosomal RNA", at positions 28 to 507 of the family's 1533-position model. The record is from RNAcentral.
GAUGAACGCUGGCGGCGUGCCUAAUACAUGCAAGUCGAGCGAACAGACGAGGAGCUUGCUCCUCUGACGUUAGCGGCGGACGGGUGAGUAACACGUGGAUAACCUACCUAUAAGACUGGGAUAACUUCGGGAAACCGCAGCUAAUACCGGAUAAUAUAUUGAACCGCAUGGUUCAAUAGUGAAAGACGGUUUUGCUGUUACUUAUAGAUGGAUCCGCGCCGCAUUAGCUAGUUGGUAAGGUAACGGCUUACCAAGGCAACGAUGCGUAGCCGACCUGAGAGGGUGAUCGGCCACACUGGAACUGAGACACGGUCCAGACUCCUACGGGAGGCAGCAGUAGGGAAUCUUCCGCAAUGGGCGAAAGCCUGACGGAGCAACGCCGCGUGAGUGAUGAAGGUCUUCGGAUCGUAAAGCUCUGUUAUUAGGGAAGAACAAAUGUGUAAGUAACUAUGCACGUCUUGACGGUACCUAAUCAGAAAGCCACGGCUAACUACGUG